This 155-nucleotide small nucleolar RNA is filed under the name Ochotona princeps (American pika). Its description in RNAcentral is "Small nucleolar RNA SNORA74 (ENSOPRG00000023753.1)". Lineage: Eukaryota; Metazoa; Chordata; Mammalia; Lagomorpha; Ochotonidae. The record is from RNAcentral.
CUCAGCUGUAGGAAACUGCCUAGGUUGCCUUUCACCUACGCAGUUGCUUCACUGCUGGGAGAAAAGCAGCCAGUAGUUGACAGGCAUUCUGGAACCGGUUAAUGCCAGCUCUGUGUUAACUGUACCAGUGUUACAGCAGAGUUGCUGGAUUUAUU